This 1137-nucleotide ribosomal RNA is filed under the name uncultured organism. Its description in RNAcentral is "bacterial SSU rRNA". It matches the Rfam family "Bacterial small subunit ribosomal RNA", at positions 258 to 1415 of the family's 1533-position model. The record is from RNAcentral.
UAAAAGCCUACCAAGCCUAGGAUCCUUAGCUGUUCUGAGAGGUUGAACAGCCACACUGGGACUGAGACAAGGCCCAGGCUCCAUUUGGAGCCAGCAGUGAGGAAUUUUGGACAAUGAGCGAAAGCUUGAUCCAACAAUACUACAUGAGUGAAGAAGGCUUUCAAGUUGUAACACUCUUUGGUUGAGGAGGAUAAUGACAGUACUCAACAAAAUAGCCCCGGCUAACUUCGUGCCAGCAGCCGCGGUAAGACGAAGGGGGCGAGCGUUAUCCGGAAUGACUGGGCGUAAAGGGUCCGUAGGCAGCAUUUUUUGUUGGAAGUUAAAUAAAAAAGCUUAACUUUUUUCCGCUUCUAAAACGUAAAUGCUUUGAGUUUGAUAGAAGAUAGCAGAAUUUCACAAGGAGGGGUGAUAUCCAGAGAUCUGUGAAGGAAUAUCAGAUGCGAAGGCGGCUAUCUAGAUCAACACUGACGUUGAGGGACGAAAGCAUGGGGAGCAAACAGGAUUAGAUACCCUGGUAGUCCAUGCCUUAAAAGAUGAGUGUUCGUGCUUAGAGAACUUUAGGCACUUAGUUAACACGUUAAACACUCCGCCUGGGGAGUACGAUCGCAAGGUUGGAACUCAAAGGAAUUGACGGGGGCCUAUACAAGUGGUGGAGCAUGUGGUUUAAUGCGAUAAUACGCGCGAAACCUUACCAGUUCUUGACAUAAAAAAGAAAAAGUUUGAAAAAGCAAUUUUAAAGAUUUUUACAGGUGCUGCAUGGCUGUCGUAAGCUCGUGUCGUGAGAUGUUAGGUUAACUCCUUUUAACGGGCGAAACCCCUUUUUUUCGUUGCUACUUAAUUUUAUUUUUAAAGCACUCUAAAAAAACUGCUCCCUUUUUCUAAUUCGGAGAGGAAGGUGGGGAUGACGUCAAGUCCUUAUGGCCCUUAUGAACUGGGCUACACACGUGCUACAAUGGUAAAGACAAUAAGAAGUGAUAGGGUAACCUGAAACCAAUCUUUAAACUUUAUCAAAGUUCGGAUUGUGGACUGCAACUCGUCCAUAUGAAGGUGGAAUCACUAGUGAUCGCACAUCAGCAUGUUGCGGUGAAUUUGUACCUAGGCCUUGUACACACCGCCCGUCACGUGCCGGGAGUUGGC